Paramuricea clavata is the source of this 1365-nucleotide non-coding RNA. Lineage: Eukaryota; Metazoa; Cnidaria; Anthozoa; Malacalcyonacea; Plexauridae. The record is from the annotation of a GenBank genome assembly.
GUCAUGGCAAUACUUGAGCGCGAGCCUGCAUUCAGUGGUCCAUUUCUGAAUACUUCAUGUUAAUUUAAUGUUUGGAAAAUAUUGGCGAGGGGUUACUCCAUGCAUGAAUUUCUAGUAUUAAUCUGACACUGCAAUAGACCAACGAAAAGUUCGUUGACUCGAGCAGGAUUUGAACUCGCACCUUCGGGUAUCUAUACCGCCGCUCUACCCAUUGAGCUAUCGAGUCAACGGGGAUUGGUAGCGAGUGUUACCCCAUUUAAGUGAACGAAAUAUUUUCGUGACGACUUACGCUUGUCUUAGAGGACGCGCAUUGUUCCAUUUCUAUUUCAGAACCAUUGACUCAUAUAUAGCUCAAUGACAAUGGGUAGAGCGGUGGUCUAGAUACCCGAAGAUGCGAGUUCAAAUCCCGCUCGAGCCAACGAAUUUUUCGUUGGUCUAAUGCAGUGUCUGAUUAAUAUGAAACUGGUUUUUCGUAUCUCUGAGGAUGGUUCUGAAAUAAAUCCUGAAAGAUUUCGUAUUUAUUAUGACACGACUUCCUCUAUAUCAUCGAGUGUUGGGGUUGCAUUAGUCCGGCAAGCGAGAAGUUGGAUCAGAUUCACAGUGGACAAAAGGCUUGGCGAGGAAAGUACGCUUCGCUAUAAAAACAUAAUCUAUAAUUAUAUAUGUACGCAUAUUACAUCAGACAUCAGACCCGUACUUGAGUAUUGUGCUCCCGUGUUUCAUCAUGCUCUCCCAGGAUAUUUGUGUGACGAUCUUGAACGCAUUCAAAAGCGUGCGUUAUCGAUUAUAUCUCCGGGACUAUCCUAUAUGGACAAUCUCACUGUACACGAUAUCAGUACUUUGAAAGACAGGCGCCAGAAACUUUGUAAGAAACUUUUCCAAACAGUUGUGUCCGAUGCUGAUCACAAGCUUUACCAUCUUCUGCCGCCCUCAAAGACAUCAGCCUAUAACCUAAGAAGACUGCGUCGUUUUGACUGUCCUGCUACACGAACAAAUCGUUUUAGUAAUUCUUUUAUUCUGUCAAUGUCAAAAGAGUAGUUUAUAAACGAUACCAUGCAGUGGGGAUCAGAUUUGACUUCCCCUACCACUUCCGCUGCCUAUCGCUGAUUUGUUAUGCAUGUGAUUAGUUAAUUUAGUAGUCUGAAUUUUUCUGAUUAGUUCCUAGUCCUUUUCGGUAGCAGUGGUGGUGGUGGAGGUCGGAUCUGAACUUCGCUACCAACGUUUUACAAGUACAUAUUUAUUGAUAUGUGUAUGUUUGUAUGUAUGUAUGUGAGAUGUACAUAUUAUUUUUGUAAAUUUUACGCAAUUCAGCUUUUGUAGGCUGCUAUGUAAAAUCAUAAUAAACUAUCUAUCUAUCUAUCUAUC